AACGUCAUUAACUUAUCAUGUUUCUUAGAUUGGA
Molecule: non-coding RNA, 34 nt
Filed under: Trypanosoma vivax
Lineage: Eukaryota; Euglenozoa; Kinetoplastea; Trypanosomatida; Trypanosomatidae
Source: RNAcentral